This 492-nucleotide ribosomal RNA is filed under the name uncultured bacterium. Its description in RNAcentral is "partial 16S ribosomal RNA". It matches the Rfam family "Bacterial small subunit ribosomal RNA", at positions 29 to 507 of the family's 1533-position model. The record is from RNAcentral.
AGUGAACGCUGGCGGUAGGCCUAACACAUGCAAGUCGAACGGCAGCACAGUAAGAGCUUGCUCUUACGGGUGGCGAGUGGCGGACGGGUGAGGAAUACAUCGGAAUCUACUUUUUCGUGGGGGAUAACGUAGGGAAACUUACGCUAAUACCGCAUACGACCUACGGGUGAAAGCAGGGGAUCUUCGGACCUUGCGCGAGUGAAUGAGCCGAUGUCGGAUUAGCUAGUUGGCGGGGUAAAGGCCCACCAAGGCGGCGAUCCGUAGCUGGUCUGAGAGGAUGAUCAGCCACACGGGAACUGAGACACGGUCCAGACUCCGACGGGAGGCAGCAGUGGGGAAUAUUGGACAAUGGGCGCAAGCCUGAUCCAGCCAUACCGCGUGGGUGAAGAAGGCCUUCGGGUUGUAAAGCCCUUUUGUUGGGAAAGAAAAGCAGCAGGUUAAUACCCCGCUGUUCUGACGGUACCCAAAGAAUAAGCACCGGCUAACUUCGUG